RNAcentral lists this unclassified non-coding RNA (322 nucleotides) under soil metagenome. Its description in RNAcentral is "partial contains 5.8S ribosomal RNA, internal transcribed spacer 2, and large subunit ribosomal RNA". The stretch from base 1 to 120 matches the Rfam family "5.8S ribosomal RNA", at positions 35 to 154 of the family's 154-position model. The record is from RNAcentral.
GAUGAAGAACGCAGCGAAAUGCGAUAAGUAAUGUGAAUUGCAGAAUUCAGUGAAUCAUCGAAUCUUUGAACGCAAAUUGCGCCCUUUGGCAUUCCGAAGGGCACACCUGUCCGAGCGCCGUCGCACAACUGAGGCGCAGCCUUGCGUUGGCGGGCGACUUGUGAGUAGCGAGUCGCCGCCCAAACGAGACGGCGCCGCGCCGCGGCCGACGAAGCACGAAAGCGGAAGUCGACGCGGAGGCGGUUGCCUGUAGGAAGACACAGCUUGGCCUCGGAUCAGGUGGGGAUACCCGCUGAACUUAAGCAUAUCAAUAAGCGGAGGA